RNAcentral lists this ribosomal RNA (605 nucleotides) under Paracoccus sp. M039. RNAcentral's name for it is "bacterial SSU rRNA". It matches the Rfam family "Bacterial small subunit ribosomal RNA", at positions 108 to 748 of the family's 1533-position model. The record is from RNAcentral. Lineage: Bacteria; Pseudomonadati; Pseudomonadota; Alphaproteobacteria; Rhodobacterales; Paracoccaceae.
GAGUAACGCGUGGGAACGUGCCCUUCUCUACGGAAUAGCCCCGGGAAACUGGGAGUAAUACCGUAUACGCCCUUUGGGGGAAAGAUUUAUCGGAGAAGGAUCGGCCCGCGUUGGAUUAGGUAGUUGGUGGGGUAAUGGCCCACCAAGCCGACGAUCCAUAGCUGGUUUGAGAGGAUGAUCAGCCACACUGGGACUGAGACACGGCCCAGACUCCUACGGGAGGCAGCAGUGGGGAAUCUUAGACAAUGGGGGCAACCCUGAUCUAGCCAUGCCGCGUGAGUGAUGAAGGCCUUAGGGUUGUAAAGCUCUUUCAGCUGGGAAGAUAAUGACGGUACCAGCAGAAGAAGCCCCGGCUAACUCCGUGCCAGCAGCCGCGGUAAUACGGAGGGGGCUAGCGUUGUUCGGAAUUACUGGGCGUAAAGCGCACGUAGGCGGACUGGAAAGUCAGAGGUGAAAUCCCAGGGCUCAACCUUGGAACUGCCUUUGAAACUAUCAGUCUGGAGUUCGAGAGAGGUGAGUGGAAUUCCGAGUGUAGAGGUGAAAUUCGUAGAUAUUCGGAGGAACACCAUUGUCAAAGUCGUCCCGCCGCAGCAUUACAUACCCUG